AUACGGAGGAUGCAAGCGUUAUCCGGAUUUAUUGGGUUUAAAGGGUGCGUAGGCGGAUGAUUAAGCGUGAGGUGAAAUGCCACUGCUCAACAGUGGAACUGCCUCGCGAACUGGUUGUCUUGAAUGCUCCUGCCGUGGGAGGAAUGUGUGGUGUAGCGGUGAAAUGCUUAGAGAUCACACAGAACACCGAUUGCGAAGGCAUCUCACGAAGGGGUGAUUGACGCUGAGGCACGAAAGCGUGGGGAUCAAACAGGAUUAGAUACCCUGGUAGUCCACGCAGUAAACGAUGAUGGCUAACCGCUGGGCUUAUCAGUUCAGUGGCCAAGCGAAAGCGAUAAGCCAUCCACCUGGGGAGUACGACCGCAAGGUUGAAACUCAAAUGAAUUGGCGGGG
Molecule: ribosomal RNA, 393 nt
Filed under: uncultured bacterium
Lineage: Bacteria
Description: partial 16S ribosomal RNA
Rfam family: Bacterial small subunit ribosomal RNA
Source: RNAcentral